GCUUCGGUGGCCUAGUGGUUAGAGCGUCCGCCUCGGAUGCGGAAGGUCAGGUGUUUGAACCCCGGCCGACUCA
Non-coding RNA from Potamilus streckersoni, 73 nucleotides. Lineage: Eukaryota; Metazoa; Mollusca; Bivalvia; Unionida; Unionidae. The record is from the annotation of a GenBank genome assembly.